CUCUGUGACUCCUACGGGAGGCAGCAGUGGGAAUAUUGCACAUGGGGAAACCCUGAUGCAGCCAUGCCGCGUGUGUGAAGAAGGCCUUCGGGUUGUAAAGCACUUUCAGUCGUGAGGAAGGUAGUGUAGUUAAUAGCUGCAUUAUUUGACGUUAGCGACAGAAGAAGCACCGGCUAACUCCGUGCCAGCAGCCGCGGUAAUACGGAGGGUGCGAGCGUUAAUCGGAAUUACUGGGCGUAAAGCGCAUGCAGGCGGCCUGUUAAGUCAGAUGUGAAAGCCCGGGGCUUAACCUCGGAAUUGCAUUUGAAACUGGCAGGCUAGAGUCUUGUAGAGGGGGUAGAAUUUCAGGUGUAGCGGUGAAAUGCGUAGAGAUCUGAAGGAAUACCAGUGGCGAAGGCGGCCCCCUGGACAAAGACUGACGCUCAGAUGCGAAAGCGUGGGGAGCAAACAGGAUUAGAUACCCUGGUAG
Molecule: ribosomal RNA, 469 nt
Filed under: uncultured bacterium
Lineage: Bacteria
Description: bacterial SSU rRNA
Rfam family: Bacterial small subunit ribosomal RNA
Source: RNAcentral